This 23157-nucleotide long non-coding RNA is filed under the name Citrus maxima (pomelo). Its description in RNAcentral is "long non-coding RNA (CMAX_LNC000419)". The stretch from base 18772 to 18875 matches the Rfam family "Plant small nucleolar RNA R71". Lineage: Eukaryota; Viridiplantae; Streptophyta; Magnoliopsida; Sapindales; Rutaceae. The record is from RNAcentral.
AGUUGUCACUCUAAAAUUGGGAAUUAAUUAAUAUUUAGAUAAUUAUUAGUUGAAUAGUGGUGAAUUCUGAAACCUUGGUAAUUUUUGUCUUAUUGAAAUCUCAUUUACUUUAAUUGUUUUCUUAGUUUAAUUUCUUUUAAAACUCGAUUUGCUCAACUAGGUUAGGAUUAAUAUUAAUUGAUUUAAAUUAGACAUUUCAAUUUAUAACAAUCUUUGUGGGAUCGACCUCGUUACCACUAUUUUAUUUCUAGAUUCGUGCGCUUGCGAGUAUAUUAAAAUUUUCACAACAAGUUUUUGGCGCCGUUGCCGGGGAUUGUGUCAGAAAGUCAGUUUAAUCUAGGUUAAUUUGAUUCUUCCACUAGUUUAUUUUAUUUAUUCAAUUUUUAUUUUAAAAAAACACAAAAAAAUUUAAUUUUUUAUUUAUUUUGAAUUUAUUGUUUGGUUGUUUGUUUUCUUUUAUUUUAAUUUUGUUUAUUUUUAUUAUUGUUGUUUUAUUUUUCUUUAUUUGUCUAGUUAGUUUAUGAGUGUUUGGGAACGUGAUUCAACAAAUCGUUUGAUCAAAAAUAGAGUCAAAAAUUAAUUGUAGUCGAGAUAGUUCUUUAGAAGUGAUGGAUGACCCAAAUAGACUAUUGACAAUACUUCCACCAGUGCAAGCAGAGAAAACCCUUAGAGAAUAUUUUUUACCACUUGCAGCCAACCAACCAUCUUGUAUUGUGUUGCCACAAACUACAGCAACACACUUUGAACUUAAGCUCUCAGUCAUUCAACUUUUACUAUCUUUUCAUGGGUUAGAGAGAGAGGAUCCAUAUUUGAACAUUAAGGAAUUUCUUGACAUAUGCUUUACAUUCCGUUUUCAAAAUUUUAAUGAUGAGUCAAUUAGGCUUCGUAUGUUCCCUUUCUCGUUAAAAGACAAAGCGAAAGCUUGGUUGAAUUCACUUCCUGCUGGGUCUAUUACUACGUGAGAUGAAUUGAGUAAUAAGUUCCUCACCAAAUUUUUCCCUAUGUCUAAAACAAAUGCCCUUAGGAGAGAGAUAAGUGAUUUUUAUCAAAGAGAGGGUGAGCAAUUUUAUGAGUGUUGGGAAAGAUUUAAUGAUUUACUCCUUAAGUGCCCCCACCAUGGUUUUGAGAAAUGGAGACUUAUACAGUGUUUUUAUAAUGGUUUAACUAUGUCAAAUCGUCAUAUGGUAGAGUCUAUGAAUGGUUGGAGAUUUUUAAACCUACAUGAAGGGGCUGCAUGAGAUUUCUUUAAUUCACUUUAUGAGAAUUCUCAACAGUGAGAUUUUUCAAAUCAAAGGGAAAAAUUGUCUCAAGUUUCUAGAAAGGGUUUAUACGAAGUUAAAGAUGAUUUUGAUGUGAAAUCCACUCUAGCUGCACUUUCUAGGAAAGUAGAUGCCUUAGCUCUGAACCAAUCAAUGAAUCACCAUCCUAGUGUAGCUAAUGAGGUUUGUGCUCUUUGUUCAAACAUGUCUCAUGCGGCACAAAAUUGUCCAUCAUUACCAGCCUAUCAAGAGGCUUAUUCUGAGCAGGUACAUGACUUACAAUCAUAUGAGAAAACCUCCAAUAAUCCAUACUCACCCACAUAUAAUCCUAAUUGGAGGAAUCACCCUAAUUUUUCUUGGAAACAAAAUCAACCUUUGUCAAACCAAAGAGGACAACAAUUUAGCUUGCCCAAUCAACAAUUUGUCCCUCUUAACCAAGUAUAUCCUCCUGCCCAACAACCCAUGUCUCAAUUUGUUGCACCCCAACAAAGAAAGCCUUCUUCAGAGGAUACACUUCAAAGUUUCAUUCAGUCAACCCAAUAAGCUUUUCAGUCAAACACUCAAGCUAUUCUAAAGCUUGAACAUCAAUUGGGUCAAUUAGCAACUAUUGUGGCUGAGAGAGAAAAAGGAAAAUUCCCAAGUCAACCAAUUCCUAAUCCCAAAGGAGUGCAUGAAGUUGGAUCGAGUUCAAUCCAUCAGCAUGAAGAAGCAAAAUCUAUUAUGACCUUGAGAAGAGGAAAAUUGUUUGACAACAAAGUAGAGGUUCAAACAAGGAAGACAUCUAAGCCUACUUCUUCAGAUCCAGUUCCAUCACAAGACUCAUCACCAAAUGAUCAAGAAGAGAGUGGUCCACCAACUUACAUUCCCAAGGCUCCUUUUCCUCAAAGGUUAGCAAAGGUAAAGAAAGGGACUUCAACAGGUGAGAUUAUGGAAAUCUUCAAGCAGGUAAGUAUAAACAUCCAUUUACUCGAUGCUAUUAAGCAAGUUCCUUCAUAUGCCAAGUUUUUAAAAGAUUUAUGCAUUAAAAAGAGAAAUUUGCAUGUCACCAAAAAUGCAUUUUUAACUGAACAAACUAGCAAUUUACUCCAAUGUAAAAUGCCACCAAAAUUUAAGGAUCCUGGUUCCCCUACUAUCUCAUGUGUUAUAGGGAACCAAUUGUUUGAUAAAACAUUAUUGGAUUUAGGCGCUAGUGUUAAUCUCUUGCCUUAUUUUGUUUACAUGCAGCUUGGACUAGGUGAGUUAAAAUCAAAUUCCAUUGUUUUGCAACUUGCUGAUAGGUCAAUGAAAAUACCUCGUGGUAUUAUAGAGGAUGUGUUGAUACAGAUUGACAAAUUUUAUUAUCCUGUUGAUUUUAUUGUUAUUGAUACUCAACAUAUACAGGAUCCUAAGAAACACACCCCAGUUAUUCUAGGUCGUCCUUUCUUAGCUACAGCUGAUGCUCAUAUUAGUUGUAGGAUUGGAAACAUGCAAUUGUCUUUUGGUAACAUGACCAUGGAAUUAAACAUUUUUAAUGUUCCCAAGUAGGCACAAGAAGAUGAUGAAUUCGUUGAAGUAGAUAUGAUAGAAGCAUCAAUUGAUGAUUCACUUAUUUCUAACCACUGUGACAAUCCAUUAAUACCAUGCACAACUGACUUUGAUUUCUCUGUUGAUGUUGAUAGUGGUAUUGAAGAAGUUAAUGCUUUACUUGAUUCGACUCUUAUCAUAGAUCUAAUUAAGUGGAAAGAAAAGAUUGAGCCACUUCCUCCUGAAGAGAAAAUUGAAUCAUUCAAGUUGGAGCUACUUCCUAAAAAAAUGCAACAUAUGUUACAUUCUGACAUGAAAAGGUGGUAAGAUCUAAAGUGUUUAAAUUAUUAGAUUUUUAUACUACUUCAGAUAACUCUCAAGAAAGCUUGGAACAAAAGAGAUCAAAGCAGUGCGAUAUUGAGGAGUUUCAUUACCAUCAUCCUUUUAUGGAUAAAAUGCUCCAGUGCUUAAUCAAAUUAUGCUUUCUGGUAUUUUCUGUAUAAUUGCUUUGAUUCGUACGCUUGCGAGUAUAUUAAAAUUUUCACAACAUCAAACAACUGAGCCCGAUAGUAUAAAGUAGGCACAAUCUUGUAUGAAACUCAAUUUAAUUAAUUUACCUGUACUCCGUCAAUAAAGCAUCUAUCGCCUACAUCAAAUGGGUGCGUCACAAAUACAAAUAUGAUGGCUUCAAAACAAGUCCUGGCUGUAUUACCAAACAUGAAUGCCAGAAGUAAAAGCUGGGAUGUAAUGACGGCAAUUACUUUGUAAGUCAAAAGACCCAUCACUAGCAACCACACUAUGAUGAUCACGACAACCACAAUUCCUGAAAGAAUCCUGUUCAAUUCUUCUAUGGCAGUUUUGGCAUCAUUUAAGGAACGCUUCAGAGUUUUGCGGUCAUUAUAAACUUUUAUCUGCAAUGAAAAUAACUUCAUCACAAGAUGAGUUGAUGGUGUAUGACAAGUGAAGUAGAAAUUGUAGGAGAUAUAUGACAAUGCAGUGUUUUGGGCUACGUAUAAAUGAGUUUGAAUUAGUUUUAAUUUAUUAGUGUUUUUUUUUUCAAGUUCUUUUGGUGUGCUUUCAGUUAUAACAUUAAACGAUCAAGAUUUUGUUAACAGUGUAUUCUUAUCUAAAAAUUAUUAAUAAAAAAAUUUCUAUAAGUCAAAACAAAUAUUAGGUCAUCAUGGAUCCAAAUAUCGUACAAAUAUAUAAUCGUUAUGUUGAUUACACAUUUAUAUCAAUUCAUAUACCUCAUAUGAAAAUUUAUUGUGGUUUUUUUAAUUAGCAAUACAAAUUUAUCAUUUAAUUAAGAAGAGUUCUUUAGUAAUGCAUCUAACUAAAGAACUUAUUUAGUGCUAAGUUGAGCUUCGUGCUUGGCUUUUUAAACAGUGCGAUUGAUAGUUAUUAGAUUAAAAAAAUAAUAUAAUUAACCAUAAAAUGCCAUAAAUAAAAACCAAACUAAAUUCAAAUCAAACUCAAUCUGUUCUAGAAAUAGGAACUAAAUAAGAGCUUGAUUUUAAUUUGUUCUCGUUAGUUUCGAUUUACUUUUGGUUUGGGGUUUUAUUGUUUGUUUUAUUACUAAUUUGGUUCUUUCCUCUAAGAGACAAAAGGAAUCAACCUCAACACUAAACUGUUUAGUUUGAAAUUUUUUUAACCGAACAUAGACCAAAUUUAAUUCAGUUUGGCUUGAUUAAAUUCAAUAACGAUUGGUUCAACCCGAAAUGGUUCAACUUUUAAUUUGGUUGGUUUGAUUCAAUUGUAUCUCCUUAACGUGACUGAAGAUCAUAAUAAAAUCAGCACAACACAACUCAAUUCAAUAUUGAAUCUAAAUCCAAAGAAUCUUACCACCCAUUUCUUAAAAUCUGCCUUAUUGAUUUUUCCGCUCUUGACCGCUCUAAACAAUUUCAGCAUUUUUUUCACAUGUUGCUCAUCGUCCAAGAACUCCUUAAGCUUCUGCUCCCCGAUAAACCUAGUCAUUGUUAACAAUAACAAAAUAAAAACAACGAGAUGAAUUGAUUCCGAAAAAAAUCAUAUGAAACUGGAAUUUUAUUUAGUUAAAGUAACUAGACUCACUCGCUUUGAGGCGUUUCUAGCUUCUUGAUUAUCUUAUCGGCGAGAUUUUUAGCUUCUGAUUCGCUUUUAAUCUCACUGAACUCAUCAAGCUCACUUGACAUUGACGACUUUAAGCCACUGCAACUGAUUAAUCCUUGCAAGAUACAGGCAGAAAUCUUCUCUAUCGUCGUUAUUCUUUUAGCCUUUUUUUCCUUGUUAAUCCUAGAAAUAAACUGCAUCGCUAUAUUUGCGUUCCUUAAUUUUUUAACCUUAUUUUUUUGUGGAGCUGAAAGAACCUGAACAACGUGCUGAUGAAAGAUCGAUUGAUGAAUCUGAUGGAAGAAUCGCUUGCUUUGGAAAGAAACACUUUUUAACUUAACUGAGAGAGUCUUCACGAACCAAACAGCAGCCCCAGCAACAAAAGAAGCAAGAGUCCUUGUAAUGUGAUGGAAAAUUUUACUAGUUUCUUUUGAUCGCUUAACCCCAUACCCAUAGUCAAACAGAAAGAUCCAGACUAAAAGGACACAAGUCAACCAAAUAAAAACGCUCACACUUGUCCUCAACCCAUAAACAAAAUACAGAACCAAAUGCUUAAGCAUGAAUUUUUUUUCAAUGAGCAAAACAGUAAUAGUGAUGAAGCAUCGACUAACCAGAGGACCAGAGAGAGUCACCAAUGCUAACAGACACCAUUUCCACAGCUCUAGAUCCCAUAUGACAUGGUUUUGCAACUUUUUCAAGGCUAAGCUGGCAAUUAACAAGCACAAUAUGGACACAAAUAUAAUGAACUCAAGCAUGAGUGAAAUGUCCUUUACUUUACCUAUUAUUAUAUUUUCAUCAUCUUCCUCUCCCUCCUCUUCCUCUUUCUCUUCCUCCUCGUCUUCAUCCUCUCUUGAAGCAGCUGACUUCAAGUUCUUUGCUUGCUCUCUUAAAUGAGAUUCUUCGGUAUCUGUAUUAAUCUGUAUCACGGUAUUGUCGUUUCCUUUGUCCUUUUUACCUUCCAUUUGCGCUAAUGAGGAAGAAGAGCUAGAGUUGCCUAAAAGGGAGUUGUGUGUACUAGCAGAAAGCGAAACCGCCAUAUAUAGAGCAGCAAUACGAAUUUGGGAGAUUUACGAAAAUAACCUAAAAACUUUUGUAAUUUUUACAAUUAACCCUCCAAACUUUUUCCUAUCAACAUAAGCCAAACACAAGGUUUUCUCCCCAAAUUACUCUUGUUUACAAACCAAAAGCAAAUUUCCUUCUCCCCCUUUAUCAAACCGAACGCAGCCUUGCACUCUUGAAUCAUUAUCGGCGACGGCAAACAUCAUCGGAAACGGGAAACGGCAAACGGCAAGGGCAAACGCCAACGACAAACGGUAAAAGUGAACUUCAAUCAAAUACAGCAUAAUACAUCCAGAUCCAACACCAAUUCGUAUCAUCGAACGGUAAGAGGUAUUUUCUGAACUUGCAAGUGCGGUAGCCUGUCGCACCAAGAUGCAGAUUUACCCGAAUCUGCCUCUUCGUGCAACAAUCGUCCGUGUCACACCAAAAUCGUGCGACAGGCUGCCUGUCGCACCAAGGGGCAGAUUCAUUGUAACUCACUCUUGUUGCGACAGUGCGACAAGCAACUUGUCGCACCAACAUACAAUUAUUUUUUUAUGUAAUAUAUAAAAAUUUAUUCUCUUUAUUAGUUUCAUAGUGCGUAAUUAAUUUUUUUUAAUAUUUCAGGUUUAAUGGAUUCAGUUGUGCUUCAAUUGUGUUAUGAUGAUUGGUGGGAGAUGUCAAGGGAUGGCGGUAUGGAGUAUGUGAAUGGUAAAAAUACAUUUUUUUUAGUUGGAAAAAAUUGUCUGUUCGAGUACUUUUUGGCAAGAGUAUAUGGGGUCUUACAAAUAAAUACUAAUGAAUAUAAUAUCAUAAUAAAGACAAUUUUGAGGUCUAGUAACACAUUCUAUUGUAUGUGUGCACUGCCCAUGGACAUAUUUAAUGAUGAAAUUGUGAGGGUUGUUUUGCAUAUGGCAUCUGAUGUGGCCAACUAUGGAUGCAUUCAUAUAUUUGUUACCACAUCUCCUCGAGUUCCGAGCGAAGAUCUUGAGCCACCCGUUGAAACAGAAACUUCCUUAGAGCAAAUAUGUCUGGCCCUGAUAUUGAAGAGGAGGUGCUGCCAAGGACAAUAUCGUUGCAACAAUAUUACUCUCCACUCGAUGACAAUAAUGACAACAUUGAUGACAACGACAUUAUAUUAGUGGAUAUUGAAGAAGAGGUAUUACCACUAACGACAUCGUGGGAGCAACAGUAUUCUCUGUAUCAUAACAAUGAUUUCCACGACAAUGAUGAUUCUGUUGAUGACUUUAGCAACGCGGAGGCAAAUAAUGUUUGUCCAAAACCUUCUAAUGCAAGUGAUGAUGGAGGUGUUAGUCCUUCCAAUAUUCCAUCGUUUCAGCACGAGGAUGAGUGUGAAGAUGAUAAUCUUGUGAAUAACAGAGACAAUCGAUCUAUUCUUCCAAUGGCCGGUUCAAGAAGGAGGAUUGAACCCCUCACAAGUCUUGCUCUAAUUUUUCCUUCGAACAUGGCUGCUUCAAGUUUUCUUAGCAGUUCUGACUCAGAUGAUAUCAGCGUAGGUAAGUUAUUCGCUGAGAAGAAUGAGUUAAUAUUACAACUGCGCAAGGUUGCCUUUAGGGAUAAGUUUGAUUUCAAGAUUGUACGGUCUACAACGACACAUUUCGAGGCUCACUGUUGUUCGGAAUCAUGUAAAUGGUGUAUUCGAGCAAUUAGAAGUUCAAACGAGCAUAUUGGUCUUCAGGUGGUGAGGAGAAUUGACAAUGUAUACACUUGUCAUAAUGAGGUAUUGGUUGAUGGUCGUCAUCAAGUAACGAGCCGACUUGUCGGUCAUAUUAUCGCAAAUAAAUAUAUUCAAGAAAAAAGAAUAUACACUCCGAAUGACAUCAGAGCAUAUAUGCUGCAGGAGUACGGUGUGCGGUUAACAUACCAACAUGCAUAUCGAGCUAGAGAAGUUGGUCUUGAAAUAGUUCGAGAGAACCCUGCAGAGUCAUACAACCUGCUCCCUAAAUACUCUCACGUAUUGACUAAAGCGAAUGAGGUACAGUCACACACCUCGAGCGAGAUAGAAAUGGUAAUUUCUUGUACUACUUUGUAGCACUUAGAUCUUCCAUCAAGGGUUUUAUGCAGUACAUUCUGCCUAUCAUUGUUGUGGAUGGUACUUAUCUAAAGGGGUUAUAUCAUAGAAGCAUUUUCGUGGCAACAUGUCUGGAUGGUAAUAAUUAACUGUAUCUGUUAGCCAUUGGGGUCAUGGAUUCAGAAAACAAUGAUGCUUGGAAAUGGUUUAUGAUGAACUUACAUAGAGUGAUUGGCGAUAGGCCGGAGUUGGUAAUUAUCUCUAAUCGAUGCACUGUCAUAAGGAGAGUCAUUCUGAAAAUAUUUCACAAUGCAGCUCAUGACGUUUGUAUUUACCAUGUGAAAGGUAACAUUAAGUCAAAGUUCAGGAUGUCCAAAACUCUUUAGGAUGAGUUUGAUCCUACCUUUAUUAAUGCAGCAAAAGCAUAUGGAUACGAAGAAUUUAAAAGGCAACUUAAAGGGUUGUGGAUGCUCCACUCGGGCGCGGCUGAUUACUUAGAGAAUAAUGUAAGUACGUGUAAUUGGCUGAGGUCUCAAUUUGAAGGUAGGAUGUACAAUAUAUUUACCACCAACAUCGCGGAGAGUGUUAAUUCUUUCAUGAGGGAACCACGAAAAUUUCUUGUUACUCAUCUUGUUGAUCACUUUAGAAAAACAAGGCAACAAUGGUUUUAUGAUAGAAAAAUUAUGGCUGAAUCAAUGAGUACUCGGCUAACAAUAUGGGCGGAUGAAAUAGUCAUUGAGAGGAGAACUAUGGCUGAAAGAAUGAUCGCUCGCCUAGUGUCUCCGUAUUGAUUUCAAGUUGUAGGUGGUGGGAUCAACGAAGGUUUAGUUGACAUACAAAAUAGAACUUGCUCCUGUAGAGUAUUUGAGCUUGAUCAGCUUAUCUGUGCUCAUGUAUUUGCGGCUUGUCUGACUGUCCGAGUGGAUUACAUAAACCUUUAUUCGGACUACUACACCAAGGAAUCGUUAGCGAUGGCUUAUGCACAACCAGUGGAGCCGGUUGGCGACGUGGCUGAUUGGGAAGUUUCAGAUGAAAUUCAAAAGAUGCAUGUUUAUCUACCUGUUGAGGCACCACCACCUAGUCAUCGUAAAGAGCUUAGAAUACCCUCGACUGGCGAGGAUGUCAACCAGAGGACUGUUAGAUGCGAGCGGUGUAAUGAAUCAGGACAUAAUCGUAAGCGAUGUAAGAAUUUCAUUGCAUCGAGUCGAAGUUAGUCGUAUUGUUUCAAGUGAUUAUGUUAAAAUAUUUGUUACUUUUUUGUGUAUUGUACACUUAUAUUUCAUGAAAUUUUAUUCCUAAGUUUUUAUUUUAUAUUAAAAUGUGAGCAUGAAAAUUAUAUAAACUUAAGUACGCAAAUUAGAAACAAAAAUCUAUGUUUCAAUAUUCGAAUUACUACAACGGUUUACAAUACAAUAUCAUCAUUAAAUAUGUCAACUGCAAUCUUCUUUCUAAAGUACUCCCCAUGACUACCGUUAAAAUUUAAUUUAAGCCCGAACAUUAAAUACAUCGUAAACAUCAACAAAAAACACCGCAAUCACCAGUAUCGGGCUCUUGUUGUGGCACACCCUUAACUACAACAACUUUCCAUGGGUUGGCACUCUACAACUCAGAUCAAAUGUUGUAAAAUCCAACAUAUUCCAACCAUCAAGGGAAGAUAACUUCAAACGGCCUGAACUUUAACUUGUAUUUUUUAUCGUCUCGAAACAUCAACAGUGAGUCAUAAAUCUAGACUUUGUUCUUACGAAAGUCAACUCGGACUAGUACCUAAUGCUCGCGGUACAGGUUAAUAGGGAUGAAUACCUGUAUAUAAAAAAUUGUCGUAAAUGUAUCAUGUAUCAUAUGAAAUUGAAAAACAUACAACAAAAAGACAUAUUUGAUUGUGUCUGUAAAAUUAAAUAAAAUACACACUAUAUCGACAUCCGUCAUUGGUUUGGACAUGAUGUGCUGCCGCCUACCAAUAUAGUUAUUCAAGUUGUCGCUAUUGUGAAAUGACUAUAAUGCCCCUAAAAUACAUAAAAUACUUAAUUAAAAUAAAACACACGGAAUUAAAUCAAAAGAAGGUUAAAUUCAUAAAAGUAAAAGUGUUAGUAAAACUUGUAGUGUAAAAUGAUGAUUUUCUCCUUUAUAAAUAUACAUUUUCUAACACUCAACACACCCCCCAACCAGCUUAUUGCUAGUCCCUAGCAAAUAAAGCGAAAAUGAAAUUCAAAUCCAAAAUGAUAUUUUUUUUUUUAAUAGAAACACUCGUGUUUAUUCAAUUAGAUUGAUGAUAGCAAUCAAAUAAAAGUAUAAGCAUUAUCUCCAGUCUAAAGCAACAUCACACCCACAUCAACCAUCCACAUGAAUUAGCCCAGUAGACUUUGUUAUAGUUACUUUCAAGAAUGACAUGUCAAACCCCAAAAUCUCACUGGAAGUAGUGACACUCUCACAAAGAAAUUAAACCCAAAAAAUAGUCACUCCAAUGAAUGGUAAUUGAGAGAAAAUAAUGAAAAAGUGAUAUCACAUGCUCUCACCAAGAUGAAAUAAAUAUGCCCUCAGCUUAGAAAUAAUACAAUCUUAAGUCAAAUAAAAAAAAUGUUAGUCAACCCAAUUUAUUUAUUUAUUUUUUUUAUAUGCACCACUACAUCUUUUUAGCCCAUAUAACUAGCUUAUACUUCAAACUAUAGUUCCCUAAAAUCAAGAAGGACUUUUAUUAGGACGUAGCGUAGGCUAGGGAUAUGGCUAACAAAGAAAGGAAAUAAGGAAAACAAAGUGUAUGUUUGAGAAAAAUGCAGAAAUAUUUUUUUUUUUUUUUUUUUGAAGUUGCAAGGUGGAUUUCACCUAUUAUUGUUAUUUUAUUCUUUUGAAACAAUAAUUUUUGUUUUUUUUUUUUUGCUUUUAUUUGGCAUAACUUCACUUAACAACAUAAUUAUUUACAUUUUCUCAAACAUAAAUAGGUGAUGGAACUUAUAAGACAUCGGGUAAUACUCCAAAUCAGAGUGGGUCAAGAUGAUAAGUUGACAAAGAAAAGGUUUUUUUUUUUUUUUUUUAAAGGCUCAAAAGGGGUAACUAUGGAUAUUUAAUAAAAGGGAUGGCUAGAAAGGCUCAAACGGAUCAAAGAUGGCAUUUUCAUCGUUUUUUAGGGCUCUAAAUAAUUAUCCAUAUCUACUAGUUAGAUGGGCCUCCCAAUGUAACAACACACAUUUUUUUUUUCUUUUUUUAUUUAAUUUUUAUUUAAUUUUUUUUUUAAAGGGUUAACUUAAAAGAAAUCUAGAGAUCGUGUAUAAAAUAAUAAACUGCUAAGCUGUAUAGAGAAUGGGCAAAAGGGUUACUCUCCAAGAAAAUGAUAGGCUCAACAACUCACUUGGCACUUAUUUAUGACACGUUCAUUCCUUCAAGCAACUCAUAUUUGUCUCCGACAUCAACAUGUAAAGUAGCAAACAUAGCGUAACAUCACUUAAGACCAAAGAUAAUACAAAUACUAAAAUUUGAAAUUAAUCAUGUCAUCCAAUGUUAAAACAAAUAACACAAUUUUUUUUUUAAACAACAUUCUACCCCCCAACCUAUUCUAAACAUGAAAGGAAAAUAUGCAUGCAGAAAUGUGAAAAUGAUGUAGAAAAAAUUAAUUAGAAAAAGAAAUUUUUUUUUUUUUUAACUAAGAAGAUGCGUUUCUAGAGGCACUAUACUCCAUAUUCAGCCAUCUUCGACUCAAAAAUUUGAAAAUAUAUAUUUAUAAAGGAGAAAGAGGAAGAAAACGAUUUUUUUUUUUUGUUUUUUUAAACGAUGAAGAUGCGUUUCUAGAGUAACUACACUCCAUAUUCAGCCAUCUUCAACACAAAAUGUUAGCAACAGUUAGUUUCUACAACAAAAAAUCAGUAAAAACUUAACCAAGAUUCCACAAUUGUCGACUAUUCUCUCCCCCCAACCAGAACGAAACAUUGUCCUCAAUGUUUUAAAGGAAAGAAGUAGAGUUUAGAAGACAUCACCUGGGUGGUGCAACACAGAAGAAAAUAUUUACAGGCGGAGAGUUAAAUCUAAUUUGUACUUCUUACUGCGACUACUGUUAGCAUCAUUAUUUGGUCGCUCCAACACAAAGGUCCAGGGGUCUGGCUCCGGUUUAUAAGCUUGUAACAUAUCAAGUAGCUCAUUAGCAGUGUGAGCACAAAUAAAGAGUUUUUUCACAUUAGAAGGAAUGAAAUAGUUUUUUAUUGCAUGGUUAAGAAAUGCGAUAAAGCCAUCAUAAAAGUUAUUGACAUUUAACAAACCGAUGGGUUUCUGGUGAAUGUGUAGAUGGGCCCAAGAUGCUAGUGUCAUAAGUGCCUCUAGUGUUGCAAGAUCUCCUGGAAGGAAAAUAAAAGCAUCAGCAUGAUUAAGCAUUUCAAUUAUUCUUUCUUGCAUACCUGAGACGACUAACUCUUCUCCAGUUGAUGAGUCAGACGAACUGCCCAAUGGUUUUAGGACUCUUGGGAUGAUGCCUAACACUUGACUUCCUCUGAUAAAAGCUGCUUCUGAGACCAUUUUUGAUAACCCUCGGUUACCUCCUCCAUACACCAAGUGUAAUUUUCUCGCUGCUAUGCUUCGACCAAGAUCUAUGGCUGCCUCCACGAACUCUUUAUGUUUGCCAUAGGUAAAUCCAGAAAGCACACAAAUGUUCUUGAAUUGUCUAUUGGGAGUAGCUGUCAUUGUGAUACUUCUCAAAAACAAUUUGUGAGUGCUUGACAAAAGAUAAAUCACAUUUAAGAAUCUUGGUGAUAGUGGGUCAUAGCUGUGAAUGAGGUAACAUGUCAGUGUGAAAUAACGCGUGAAGCACAUGGCUUGCGAGUCAAAAAGGAAACAGUAAAAAGGAAAAAGCAAACAGUAAUAAAAUUAUUAAAGACAAUAAUGCAAACAAUAAAACAACAGUGAAAUGAAAUAAAAUAACAGUAAAGUAAAAGGAUAUUUACACGUAGUUGCGACUGUGGCUCACAUCUUCCUCUGGUUUUACGUCCAGAAACGGCUUGAACACCCUCUAUGGGUCGAGGAUAGGCUUCCUAUCCAGUUUUCUUAUAAACUGGCAAACAGGGUCGUUUAUAGUCAGAUUCCCAAGACUAUAUCGUGCAUACUCUUUCUGGAAUAAUGGUCAUAACUGGAGAAUCGCUCCUUGCACAUAUCCACUAGGAUGCGUUUCAAGAGACAAAAGGAUAUCAUCCAAUGACUCCUUAUUCAAGCCAUCCCUAAUGAAUUGAAUCUUAUCUUCCCUGUUAUCAGACACCAUUCCUAAAGAACAUGGGUUUCUAUCGCAACUCAUUCUGGCACACUUAUGACAAGCAACAGAAAUUCUUCGAGCUCGUCGUUUUCUUGCGUAAUUUCCUUUACCACAACCAGGCAUGUAUGUAAUAAAUUUAGGAGGUAACUCACCUGCCAAUCGUACUUUAGCCUCGAUUAACCAACGGAUGUCUGCAGGUAUGUUAUUCCUCAUGAGCAAUCGCAUGCGUUCAGACCGGGCUUUAUAGAUUGUAAGGAGGGCAUUCUGAGGAAGUGAAGGGAAUCGCUUGUGAAGCUUUGCUAAAAUCUCGUUUCUAUCCAUACCUUCGCCUCAGAAUAUCAGUUAUUAUGGGAAACUGAAGUUAACCGACUUGAUUGUCACGGAGUACCGUUAUCCGCCACUUCACCGGGGUAACAAACUAAAGCACACAAACAGAAAAACAAAUCAAAACACACAAAGAAAAUUAAAACGUCCUCUUAUUGAAUUUACCUCAAGCUCCAACUGGAUGUCGUAAACACUUCUCUCAAUAUCUCGGAGUUGGCGUUCUAAACCCUCAACAUAGGCUACUAACUCUGGUGGUUGUAGAGCCCAAAUGCGUUGUGUUUUACAAAAUUGAAUCUGCUUUUUGAGAUGAGUUUUGACACAUUGAAGUGGUUUAAGAAUGUUCAGGAGGAACGGUCUAAGUAUGGUACUCAUGAUUAACAAUGAUAAGAAAAAAGAAAACUUAAUGGUAAAACAAACACACUUAUGCAAAAAUAAUUUCAAUUAGCAAAAGAAUAAUAAAAAGAAAGAAAGAAAAAUCAAAUCAACGAAAAGAAAAAACAAAUCAAUUCAAAUCUGGUGGGUCACUCAAAUUUAUUUCGGUGUCUUCUCCAUGUGGUUGGUAUUCUAGAUAUGGCUUUAAUCUUUGACCAUUAACUUUAAACGUGACACCGUUCUUUGGGUCUUUAAUUUCAAUUGCCCCAUGUGGAAAAACAGUAUGAACAAUAAAGGGACCAGACCAUCGAGAGCGUAACUUACCUGGGAAUAGGUGCAAACGAGAAUUGAAUAAAAGCACUUUCUGACCUGGAGUGAACGAUUUUCUCAUAAUGUGCUUGUCAUGAAAGACUGUCAUUCGUUGCUUAUAAAUCUUGGCAUUUUCGUAUGCAUCAUUGCGAAUUUCUUCAAGUUCUGCCAGUUGUAAUCUUCUUUCUGAGCUGGCUUGCUGCAUGUCAAAGUUGAAUUUCUUGAUGGCCCAAUAUGCACGAUGCUCGAGUUCCACAGGUAGGUGGCAAGCUUUUCCAUACACUAGCCUGUAGGGUGACAUCCCAAUCGGGGUCUUGAAAGUCGUUCUAUAUGCCCAUAAUGCAUUAUCAAGUCUUAAUGACCAAUCUUUUCUGUCUGGCCUCACCGUCUUUUCUAAUAUGUGCUUUAUUUCUCGAUUGGAGAUCUCAACUUGGCCACUGGUUUGCGGAUGAUACGGGGUUGCCACUUUGUGUGUGAUUGAAUACUUUGUCAAAAGAGCUUUGAAUGCUUUGUUACAAAAGUGGGCACCACCAUCACUGAUUAUUGCUCGAGGGAAUCCAAAGCGCGAAACAAUGUUGCUUUUCAAAAAUCCUAUCACCACCUUGUGAUCAUUGGUUCUACAUGGAAUUGUUUCUACCCAUUUUGAGACGUAGUCAACACCAACCAAUAUGUAUUUAUGGCCAAAAGAAGGGGGAAAGGGUCCCAUGAAGUCGAUACCCCAUACGUCAAAAAUCUCAACCACUAAAAUUGGAUUUAGUGGCAUCAUGUUCCUUCGUGUAAUGCUCCCCAUUCGUUGACACCUAUCACAUGAAGAACAGAAAGUGUAAGCAUCUCGAAAUAUAGUUGGCUAAUAGAAACCACAUUGUAAAACUUUAGUCGCUGUUUUCUUAACACUGAAAUGGCCUCCACAAGCUUGUUCAUGGCAGAAUGAAAGGAUAUUCUGAAUUUCACUUUCAGGGACACAUCGUCUAACAAUUUGGUCUGCACAAUACUUGAACAAAUAUGGGUCAUCCCAAAAGAAAUUCUUUAUUUCCGCAAAGAAUUUAGCCUUGUCUUGCUUGGUCCAAUGCUCUGGAAAUUUACCUGUAACAAGAUAAUUAACUAUAUCAGCAUACCAAGGUAAUACUUCCACACUCAUUAAUUGUUCAUCUGGAAAUGACUCAUUUAAUAUUAAUGGCUCUGUAAUUGUGUCAAAAUGGGGACGAGAGAGAUGGUCCGCCACAACAUUUUCUGUUCCUUUCUUAUCUUUGAAUUCCAAGUCAAAUUCCUGCAAAAGUAACACCCAACGAAUUAGUCUAGCUUUUGCAUCUUUCUUUGUGAGAAGAUAUUUAAGCGCAGCAUGAUCUGUGAAUAUAAUUAUUUUACAACCAAUGAGAUAAUAUCGAAAUUUUUCCAAUGCAAACACUACUGCUAGCAUUUCUUUUUCAGUAGUUAAAUAGUUCAACUGUGCAUCAUUCAAUGUCAUACUAGCAUAGUAAAUAACAUGAGGAAUUCGAUCAACUCUUUGUCCUAAUACUGCUCCUACUGCAUAAUCAUAUGCAUCACACAUGAGCUCAAAUGGUAAGCUCCAGUUUGGGGCCUGAAUGAUGGGUGAUGAUGUCAACAACUGCUUUAAUUUUUCAAAUGCCACAAGACAUGAAUCAUUAAAGAUAAAAGGUACAUCCUUAGCAAGUAGAUUGCAUAAGGGUCUAGAAACUUUGCUAAAAUCUUUAAUGAAACGUCUAUAGAAACCAGCAUGCCCAAGGAAAGAUCUUACUUCUCUGACUGUUUUGGGUGGAGGAAGAUUAGAAAUGAGAUCCACCUUGGCUUUGUCAACCUCAAUACCUUUGCUUGAAAUGAUGUGACCGAGAACAAUACCUUGUUUUACCAUAAAAUGGCACUUCUCACAAUUCAAGACUAAGUUCUUCUCGGUACAUCUCUGCAGAACUAGAGUUAGAUGAUGUAAACAUUGAUCAAACGAAUCACCAAAGACAGACAAGUCAUCCAUAAAGACUUCAAGGAAUCGUUCAACCAUAUCAGAAAAAAUGCUUAACAUGCAUCGUUGAAAUGUAGCAGGUGCAUUACAUAAUCCAAAUGGCAUUCUCUUAUAUGCAAAUGUGCCAAAAGGGCAAGUGAAAGUAGUUUUCUCUUGAUCUUUUGGUGCUAUGGGAAUCUGAUUAUAUCCUGAAUAGCCAUCUAGAAAGCAAUAAAAUUCAUGGCCUGCUAAUCUAUCAAGCAUUUGAUCAAUAAAUGGUAAAGGAAAAUGGUUUUUACGUGUGACAUAAUUCAACUUUCUAUAAUCAAUGUAUACAUGCCAUCCUGUAGUUACUCUAGUUGGUAUCAAUUCAUUAUCAGCAUUGGUAACUACUGUGACUCCUGACUUUUUGGGGACAACUUGUACAGGACUGACCCAUGAACUAUCAGAAAUUGGGUAAAUGAUACCUGCGUCUAAUAGCUUAAGGACUUCUGUUCUAACAACUUCUUUCAUAUUAGGAUUUAACCGACGUUGCAUUUCCCUAGUAGAUUUAGCAUUUUCAUCAAGGUGAAUGUAAUGCAUGCAAUCUGUAGGGUUUAUACCUUUUAUGUCUGCUAUGGUCCAUCCUAAUGCUCCUCUGUGCUCUUUUAAAACAUCCAACAACUUACCUUUUUGUUCGUCAUUUAGGGAUGAUGAGAUGAUUACGGGUAGAGUACUUUCUUCUCCCAAAAACGCAUAUUCCAAUGUGUUGGGCAAUGGUUUGAGCUCGAGUUUCGGUGGUGAUUCUGAUGAUGGGAUGAGUUUCUUCUCUAAUGGUGCUAGUUGUUCAACUCUUGACUUCUAUUUAUUAGUGUCCAUGUAUGGUGCUGAGUCAAGCAGGGCGUUGACCUCAUCGACCGAUCUGUCAAUAUCAAAAUCCAAACCAAAGUGAGUUAAACAUGUUUGUAAAGGAUCAUCACUAAGGUUUGAAAGAAAAGUAUUAUCAACUAUUGUUUCUAUUAAAUCCACAUCAACAAUUCCAUCAUCUGUAUUGUGAGGUUGUUUGGCAAUGUUGAAGAUGUUCAGCUCCAUAGUCAUGUUGCCAAAGGACAACUGCAUAUUUCCAGUCCUGCAUUGAAUGUGAGCAUCCGCAGUUGCCAAAAAAGGUCGGCCUAAAAUAAUAGGGAUGUGCUUCCUUGAAUCCUGUAUUGAUUGAGUGUCAAUUACAAUGAAAUCAACAGGAAAAUAAAACUUGUCUACCUGGAUAAGCACGUCCUCUACAAUACCACGAGGUAUUUUCGUAGACCGAUCUGCAAGCUGUAACACCACUGGAGUUGGGUGUAAUUCUCCAAGUCCAAGUUUCAAAAAUACAGAGUAAGGCAACAGAUUUACACUAGCUCCUAAAUCCAACAAAGCAUUCUCAAUUGUGUGGUUCCCUAUACUACAUGAGAUAGUGGGGGAGCCUGGGUCUUUGCAUUUUAAAGGAAUUUUAUGUUGGAGUAUAGAACUAACGUUUUCUGUUAAAAAUGCCUUCUUUUGAACAUGCAUGUUUCUCUUUUUAGUACAAAGGUCUUUAAGAAACUUGGCAUAAGAUGGAACUUGUUUAAUAGCAUCAAGUAAAGGGAUGUUAACACUUACCUGUUUGAAGAUUUCGAGAAUCUCACCUGUGGAUUUUCCCUUCUUUCCUUUCGCUAACCUCUGAGGAAAUGGAGCUUUAGGAACAUAUUCUCGUGGGUUGGUUUCUUCUUUUUCCUCCGGUGGUGAGUCCUCAACAUUCACAGGUACAAUUUAAUUUUCUUUUGUCACCAGCAUCUCUACUUUGUUGUCGACUUCCUUUCCUUUUCGCAAGGUCAUGACUGCUUUGACCUCUCCAUGCUGUUGUGGUGAACUGGUACUUGCUUCAUGUACUCCUUUAGGAUUAGGCACUGGUUGACUUGGAAAUUUACCUUUCUCAACAGUAAUUGUCAAGGUCUGAACUGAAGAAGCAAGUUGUCCCACCAUCUUCUCGAGGCUUGAAACUGAUUGGGCUUGUGAGUUGAAGCCCGCUCUCAACUCAUUUCGUAGUCCAUCAAUGGUGCGAUUCUGUUGCUCAAUCGUGGAGUGAGUAAGAUUCUUGAGAUUCUAGAAUGAAUCCUCCCAUGGUCUGGGUUGAGAGUAGUUCUGGUUCUGAUUGAAUGGUCUAAAUGGGGGCUGAGAGGCUUGAGGAACUUGAGGAAUUGGUGGAGCUGGAGCUGCUGGUCCAUUCUGUUGGAAUCCUUGAGACCAUGAAAAAUUGGGGUGGUCUCUCCAUCCAGGGUUAUAUGUGUUGGAGUAUGGGUUGUAAUUCGAUGGUUUUCUCAUUACACCUAUGGCAUUGGCUUGAUCUGAGUAUGAGUCAUGGUCAUGUGGCUCUGUUGAUUUAGCAGUCGAUAACGAUGCUAUUUGUCGAGAGAGACCUUCUAUUAUUGCUUUGACUUCUUUGAUUUCUGAAUUUGACUCGCCAAUUUGAACCUCAUUCACUCCUUUAAUUCUUCUAGUAUUCCUGAGUGAUCGACUCCGUUGUUGGGAAUUAUCCGCUUGUUGCUGGAAGAAUUCCCAAAUCUCUUAUGCACUUUUUGACAUUAGCUCUCCUGCACUUGUUGCCAUUAGCCAUUCUUGCACAUUCGGCAAUAAUCCCUCCAAAAAGUAUUGGCAUUGGUGCCAUUUCUCGUACCCAUGAUGUGGACACUUCAAGAGUAGCCCAUUAAAUCGCUCCCAUGUUUCGAAAAACUGCUCGUUCUCUCUCUGUGUAAACUCUGAAAUUUCCCUGCGAAUAGCAUUGGUUUUAUGCACUGGGAAAUAUUUAUUCAAAAAUUUUGUAACCAUUUGUUCCCAUGAUGCAAUGCUAUUAGCAGGCAAUGUAUUAAGCCAUGAACGAGCUCUAUCCUUUAAAGAAAAUGGGAAUAAUCUGAGUUUAACAUCAUCGUCUGAAAAAUUCUCAUAUUUGAAUGUUUGACAAAUGGCAUGAAAAUCAUUCAAAUGAUUAUAUGGAUCCUCAUUUUCUAGGCCAUAAAAUGUGGGAAGACAAUUUAACACACUAGGUUUUAAUUCAAAACUCCUAGCAGCUACAUUUGGGUAUCUUAUACAUGAUGUGCUCAAAUUAGCUAAGGGACUAAAAUAAUCCUUAAAUGGCCUCUCCUGUGGUGCUUGUAAAUCCAUUCCAAAUUUAUUUUUAAUGUGCUUUUGUGUGCGGAGUGUUUUUUCUAAUUCAAGGUCUAUAGGUUCAAGAUUAGGUAAUAAUGACCUACGACCAUGCAUGCAAAAUAAAAUAAAAAUAAAAAUAAAGAUGGGAACAAAACAAAUAAAAAUAAAUAAGAGGGAGAAAUUAUGAUACUAACCUUAUUGCGCUAUUACAACCUUUCUAUAAAAAUACACAAAAACAAAUACGUGAAAUAAAUUAACUAAAAAUUAAAUUAAUAAAAUAAACAAAAAUUACAAAGAAAAAAUAAAUUGAAAAUUAAAUUACAAAAUUUUAAAGAAGAGAAAAAGAAAAGAAAUACUAACCUUUAAAUGUAGAUUUACUUUUUUUUUUAAUAAUAAAAAAAAUACAAGAAAACAAAUAAAAGAAAUUAUUCACAAAAAUUAAUUCUAUGAAUUAAAAUUACUUACCUCCCCGGCAACGGCGCCAAAAACUUGUUGUGCAAAUUUUAAUGUACUCGCAAGCGCACGAAUCUAUUGUAGUAUAAAUCAAUGGUGACGAGUGUCGAUCCCACGAGGAGGUGGAUUUUAAUUGUGUAUAGAAUUAAUUUUGCAAAUGGUUGAUUGGAUUUGUGGUGGAAAUGAUUUGGAAUAUGCUAAAACUUAAAUUAAAAUGGCGAUAAUAAAUUCUGAAAUUGGAAUUGAAAUGGCGAGAAUAAAUUGAAGAGAAUUCUAUUGAAAUGACGUACUUGGGUAUCUGGAUCCGUAUCAACAUGCAUCAUGGGCUAAAUAUUCCUUAUUAAUACCAAUUAAAUCAUGAGGGGGGAAUCCACACCUCAUGAACCACGCUCUAAUCAAUAUGGUGCUAAGGGCUUAUCGUGCCAAAUAAUAAUAACCUUAUACUAGAGGGCCGGUGUAACCAAUGCGGUAUCUAGACAAGAUCAGUAUUAUUUGUCGACGAUAAGUCAAAUCAUCCACAAAAACUAGAGGGGAAAAGAAAAUAAAUUUACCAAAUAAAACCCAUGACACAUGUUGAGACUUCACCUUCAACCCAAGCUUGAAAGGAAAUUAGCUACUCAUAAUUGAACUAGGGGCAAAAUGGAAAUUUAUUAAAAUACAAAGAAAAUACAAGAUGGAGAAGGAAUUACAGAAAAUGGAUCCCAAAAAUGGAUUCAGAGAUAUCCAAUUAGGGGGGGAGGCCCCCUUUUUAUAGAUACAUGGAGUAAAUCAUGGCCAUCGGAUUAAAAACAGUUUGGACGCUCAGGAUUGCGUCAUGUCAUCAGUCACCAGUCCACGGUUUGACCACGUGGAUGAACAGUAACACGGUUUGACCACGUGGAUGAACAGUAACACGGUUUGACCCGGAUGAACAGUAACGCGGUUUGGUUGAAAAUAAUCCUAUGUGAUGCAUGCACCAUACGCGAGAUUUUUCGUCCACUGAUAUGCUGCCACGUCAUCAUCAACAGUACAUAAGAAUUUUAGUCCAACAGGAUCGUGACACCUCAUCAGUCAAUGCCACAUCAUCGGUCAAUGCCACGUCAUCGAUCCGUCUAUGUGAACAGUGUCGUGAACAGUAACGUAGACAGUACCGUACACGUGAAUAGUACCGUACAUGUGAAUAGUGUCAUUUUUCCUUUUAUGCUCUUCCUAAGGUUUUCGACCGUCCUGAGUUCAUAAGUGAUGUCCGUUUUUCCGUCUGAUCUCUCUUUUAUUUUGAAAUGACUAUAAUGCCCCUAAAAUACAUAAAAUACUUAAUUAAAAUAAAACACACGGAAUUAAAUCAAAAGAAGGUUAAAUUCAUAAAAGUAAAAGUGUUAGUAAAACUUGUAGUGUAAAAUGAUGAUUUUCUCUUUUAUAAAUAUACAUUUUCUAACACUCAACACAUAUCGCCAGCGAACCAUCGGUCAAACUCAUCAUAUAUACUAGAAUCCUCCAAUCCUCUAAGUAGAUUUAUAUUCACACUCGUACUCAUGUCAAUCGCAUGGUCCAUGAUUUAGGGUGGAGGUAAAGGCUGGACAUUCUUUCCUCGCUUGACUGGAGGAAUCAUGUAAGGACUAUUAAAAACAUACGACGGUCUGUACACUCGGCCGAACUUACUAAUGACCGGAGGUGCCUCAGUGAAGACCUACACGCUCUCCCCACUAACAUCCCCGUAGAAACUAUACAACGACGUGGGAGUAGAAAAAUUUUGAUUGCCCACAUCAUUAUACACUUCAUAGUCAUCUGGGGCCUGUCCAUUCGGUAAGAUGAACAUAUUAAACAACUAUCAAAUUAAAAGCUAAACGAAAUCCUUGUUUGGACAUUUAAACAGUGAAUCGAUAAAUCCCACCACGGUUUCUUUAAAAUCUUUAAAUUCUGACUUAAGUUCAUAAAUGUUACGAUCAAUCUUGUCCAUCCGUCGUCUCAUAUAAUCAUUAAACUACUUUGUCCUCAACUAUUACAAAGAAAAAAAAUUUAUAAUAACAUAUUGUUAUAAUGAUUUAUAUAUGAGGAAAAGAAAUUAUUUAUAACCUCGAAAUCAUGUGCGUCAUCAGACUUGUCUGUCUGCUUCUGAUGGUCAUCUACAGGCACCUCAUCCUGAAAUAUCUCGUGAUGCUGCUCUAGUGUUAGGUUCUGAUAACUCUAUGAAAUGAGAGUUAUCAUGGCACUUUUAGACUUAAAUCAAUAAUACUUAAAGAGUAAAUGAUGUGUUUUCAUUGUAUUUUUGUUAUAUUUUGUAUAAACAUUCAUUUUAAUUUAGUCUUAAUAAAUUUUACUUGAUUUAGAGUAAUUCGUCCCCAAAUUGUGUGCUUAAUUGUAGGUGUCCAUAAGCUUAUUUUUCACAGAAGGAAUGUUGUUGCAACAAGCUUGCAAAAAUGAAGAAGAACAUGGCUACAUAAGAAUUGAAACAAAAUCUGGAACAAUGUGGUGCUGUAGCCGUUGCUAGAGCAGUGAUGAGCAUAAUUUAUAUACAUAUUUUAGCCUUUAUUGUAUAUUUGCUAGUUAAUUUUAUUUGUUAUUUUUAAUUAAUUGAAUUGUUUUAUUGAAUAGGGAAUUAAUUGGAGAUUGGAAAUAAAAAGUGAAAAAGAAUAAUAAUUUAGGGAAAUAUUAGUUGAAGCUGUGAUAGAGUUAAGAGCCAAGAGCAAUUUGCAUUGAAAAAGAAUUUCAAUUCUCCAAUUGAGUUGCACGUCCAUAGCAUUGCAAAAGGGGAAAGCAAUUUAAAUGGGGCCCACACUUGACUUUCAAAAGUGGAAUUAAUGGCUGGCGUUAUUAUGGAAGCUUUGUUUCAUAAUUGGAAAAGGAUUUUAAUUAGUAGACAAAGAGGAUUCGGUGGCUAAGCAUUAUAAAAGAGAGUUUUGUUUCUUUAAUGAUUAUGGUUUUUAUUUCACAUGAUUAAUUGGAUGUUAAUAAAAUCUUUUCAUCAAUUCUGUCAUGCAUUAUUGAUUGUUAAGGUUAAUAUUCGAUUAAUUCUAUGCUUGGUUCUAUAAAGUUUAUACAUGAUUAUCUUUGAUUUUAUGUCUUUCAUUAAAUUGUUUACAUGGAGUGCUUAGGAAACUUUGACUCUUUGUUAUUCAAUAUGUUUACAUGAGAUUCUUAGAUGUCAUAUUAUUAAGCAGAAAAAGAACCUACAUUAGAUUUAAGUACUUGGGCUUAAUUGUUAUAUCCAUGAGAUGACAUAGAUUGAUUUCGAGUUGUCACUCUAAAAUUGGGGAUUAAUUAAUAAUUAGAUAAUUACUAGUUGAAUAGUGGUGGAUUCUGAAACCUUGGUAAUUCUUAUUUUAUUGAAUUCUCCUUUAUUUUAAUUGCUUCCUUAGUUUAAUUGGUUUAAUUUUCUUAGAAACUCAAUUUGGUCAACUAGGUUAGAAUUUAUAUUAAUUUUAGAUUUAAAUUAGACUUUUCAAUUUAUAACAAUCCUUGUGGGAUCGACCUCGUUACCACU